This is an RNA transcript of Silurus meridionalis, 1742 nucleotides long. RefSeq lists it as uncharacterized. The record is from RefSeq and is a predicted model, not a curated record. The transcript has 6 exons. Lineage: Eukaryota; Metazoa; Chordata; Actinopteri; Siluriformes; Siluridae.
ACACACACACACACACACACACACACACACAAACAAAUGCACACAGUAAAGUCUUCACAGUAUUUACUUCAGGAGCCACGAUACUCUUCACCUCCUCGAAGACAAUUUAAUUCUAUACUUUUCAUGAAGAAAAGAUAAAACAUUCAAUAUUAAUCACUUCAGUUGUUUAUUUGUUCAGAAUAAAAAAGUGUAAGAAUGUUGCUGUAUCUUCUGGUUCUUUCGAGUUUCUACUUCAGCAGCAGCCACGGACACACUGAAUUCAUUUAUACAGCAAAUGAAGUGCAAUUGGAUUGCAACAGCAGUAAAUGGCAUAUAAGUGAAAUGUCUGAGAGCAGAUUUGAUAGGAAUUGCAAAAUGCUGUGUGAUCAAAUUUGUGGUCGCACAUAUACAAAUCGGAAUUAUAUCGAUCAAUCCUGCACAAAGACAGAUUCAGACAAAGUUGGUGAAAACUGUCCUCUAAUAGCAAGAAGUGGAUUUUUUCGAUGUGUUUCUGCUCUGGAUUCUGGUCUCUUGUAUCCAUUCAAACCGUCUCCCAACACUGUUACAUCAUACGUAGUCGCUCACGCAAAUGAAGAAAUGACGACCAAAUCUGAGGAAAGAUCUUCAGUCGAGCUAACUGAAGGGGGAGAUGUUCUGUUAAACUGCAGUUUUCACUUUACAGCAGGAUAUGACCACCAGGGAUUUACUGUGUACUGGAUUAAGACCAUUGAAAGGAGCAGCAGCUGUGUGUAUUCUUAUGAUUUGGACAUGAUUGUUGUUAAGUACAAUCACCACUGCAAUGUGCAAGAAGAUCUGCUUCACAGGCUCUCAAACCAAACUGAUAGCAAAACCAGCCAUAACAUCAGGAUCAGAAAUGUAACAGAGUCAGAUGCUGGACAAUAUCUCUGUGUCUUACACGUGCACAGACAUUACAAUAAAACAAAAGGCAACUGGAAGAUCAUAAAUAAUAUUACAGCAGUAAUGAUAUCGAGUCUCUCAUCCGCUUAUGUGUUACACUGCCAAUAAUCCUGGUUGUUCCGAUGGCUGUUAUGGGGGUUUAUUUCUGUAGAAAGACUGAAACUUCACCAGAUUUUCUUUCUGACCUUGUGAUCCAGUUCAUCUCAGAGCACUUCAGUAGGAUUGAGGUAUGGUGACUGGGCAGGAGAGAACUCGGAUGUAUUCGUUGCUUUGGCUCUUUGUCUCGUUGCAGGCAUGUUGGUUCAGGAUUCCUUUCACUUUCUGGAAAAAGCCUCCAAAUGUCCCUGCUUUAAAACAACCCCAACCCAUUAAGCUUCAUGUGUGACUGUGGGGGUGAGGGAGUCUGAUCACAUCUUCUCUCCAGUCCUUGUGUGUUUUUGCCUUUUUCCAAGUUUGUUGCAUGGAAGUGAAAGAAACCUGUUUGUUUCUCAACAAUCAUAAAAGACUCUGUUUCUACACGUUUCACAGCCACUGUAUGUUAAAAACCCAAUGUGCUAUACAUCAUUUAAUAUAAUUGUUGAUUUUUGCAGGAUUUCAGGUGAUGGAACCGCAAACGCUGUAGCAGAGAGAAGACACUUGAGGUCAGAAAGAGAGAGAGAGAGAGAGAGAGAGAGAGAGAGAGAGAACAUAAUUCCAUUUCUAAUUUUUACUGUAAAUUGCAAAUUACUUUACUGCAGCUGAAUUUAUUUUUAUCAUAAUCUGUCCCAGAUCAGUUGUAAAACGCAAUUCCCUGCAUGUUGUACUGUGUGUGUGUGUGUGUGUGUGUGUGUGUGUGUGUGUGUGUG